UGUCAGAAUGAGACAUGCCGACUGGAUUAAACAAUCAGACCAGGGCCUGGACCUGCGGGUGUCCAUCAUACUAAGCCUGGGGAGAAGUGAGUGUCCCAACAAGAAGUCCAAGAACUUCCUGUAAGAGAAGAGGGGGAAAUGGAAGUGCAAAUGCCCCCUACCCAGCAGAAGCGUGAGACCCCCAGUCUUGGAGAGCCUGGGGACCAGCAAGCCGAGACCCGAAGAAUGACACGGAGUGAGCAGGGGAGCGCAGGGAGUGGGAGGUAUUCCAGGCCGAGAAGACAGCAUCUAUAAAGCUCUGGAGGUAAGAGGCAAGACGAAGAUGCUAGAACUGCUAGUAUUUCAGUGUGUCUGGAGCAGAGUGAGACGGGCAGUGACAAGAGGGGACUUUGGACUAGUGAGCAGAGGCACACAGGGGCUGGGAGGUCUCUGAUGAUGGAUGCGGAGUUUUUAUUUUCUAGACAGCUUAGCACAGGCUCGAGAUACACUCAUCUGGGACUGGAUUCAAACCCCAACCCUCCCUCGGUGGUUACAGGCAACCUUUCCAAGCGUCAGGUUUCUUUUUCCAAUGGUCUAAUCUAGACAAGCGACUAUUCACAUGUCACAGACUCGCUGGAGGAGCAUAUGACAGUGUAUGUAUGGCCCUGACACAUGAACAGUCUGGGUAAAAAACGGUUGUUAUCACUACCAUCAGCGCCUCUCUCCAGGCUGGCAUUCCUGCCCUCACAGACCAAACAGUAUCUCGGAAGCAUCAGCGAACACGUGUGGACAGAAGGUGCAGCACCCCCGUGAACCGGCCUCGCCCCACCACGGCCUCUCCUUCCAGCAGUCCCUCGGCUCCCCCCAGCCCUGCUCCACGGUGCCCGCCCCCAGCCCAAGGUGCUCACGACUGCCCACAAGAACCCAAACUCAGCCAUCGGAAGGCUGGGCCGCGGGGCUCCAGAGCCUCCAGAGAUGACUCUGCCCCACAGGAUGCCGGCUUCAUCUUCCACAGCCCGCAGGCAGUUCCAGGCACCCCUUCUUGCUGGCAAAAUGGGAGUUCACAGGCCAGAGGAGCCAUCAGUCCUAACACAGCACAAAGAAGGAAACACGACCAUGAGAGAACGGAGAAGGGCCACCCUAGGCAGCCAGCCAAAGGGGCAAGAGGUAAAAAGAGUGGAAGUGGCGCGCCGUCGAGAUUCCCCAAAAGAAAAUAGAAAACCAUCUUGGACAACCAGCUACAGCGCGUACCAACAAAUAAAAAGAAGACAUUCUGGAGUUCCCGCUGUGACACGGGGGGUUAGGACCCUGAUUACAGAUGCCUGGGUUGCUGUGGAGGCAUGGGUUGAAUUGCCGGCCCAGGGCAGUGGCUUAAAGGAUCUGUCACUGCCACAGGCGCAGCGUAGAUCACAGCUGUGGCUCAGAUUCAAUCCCUGGCUUGGGAACGUCCAUAGGCCACAGGUGUGGCCACCAAAAAAAAAAAAAAAAAAAAAAAGCUGCCCAAGAAUCCCCAAGAUCCCCAUUGCAGAACUGUUCAGGCCAUACACUGUUCUGGUGAAGAGUACAGCCUGGAGUCAGGGCGCCUGGAUGUGAACCCUGGUUCUGAUACUUAGCUGUAGAUGUUGGGCAAGUUACUUAGCUUUUUAGCGCUCCAGUUUCUUCAUCAGUAACGUAGGAAUAGUAACAGUACCCACCUGAUACAGUUGUCAUGCAUCACUUCUUCUCUCCAAGUUUAAAAAUACCUUUCAAAAGAAACAAGGAGGAAAUUAACUUGCUAAGAUUAUAUACCUUGUAGCAGUUAAAAAAAAAAAAUCCCCAGAGAAGUUAAAUCAUCCAAAAUGAGGUUGGGAGAGGGAAGACGUGGAGGGGAAGACACUGAUGAAAAAUUCUGGCUCCCAGUCCUUCAGAAGAGGGUGAACUGUUGAGGGAACAGCACUGUGAGGAGGAAACUAGCAAAACACAGAGGAGGAAAGACCAUUAUGAAAGAAUAUUCAAAGUACUUUUAGGAAAUUCUCUGGAGGGAAGUAGGAAGGCAAGCGUCCUAUCUCAUGGUGAGGCAGAAAGAGAACUGGAGAGCAAUCAGAGAAUGGAGUUUUAUUUCUAAAUCUGACACUGGUAUCACCUUGGUCAACUGACCGCACCUGCCUCAGCCUCAUUUUCCUUAAAAUUAUCUCCAUGCACUCUACUCUCUUCAGCUCUCAUAAUCUUUGAUUCUAGCAAUCAGUACUCCAGUUCAGGAGAUCUGAUACUCACGGGUCCUUCCAUGAAGACACAUGAAAGUCUAUAGCAGGCAAAGCCCCUCCAUCAAUGAGGCAAAUCAAGGGAAUCCUAGAAGGCUGGUUGUGGAAUUGGGUUCUGAGGGCUCUGCUCUCUAGGGAACAAUUUGGCUUAGUUGUCUCUUUCAAAGUCAUGGAAUCACAGGAUUGCCCAAACUGGAAAGUACCCUGCACCCUCAUUCUGCAGGUUCAGAAAAGUCAAAUGACCUGGCCAAGGUCAUCCAGCAGAAUAUGGCAGAGCCAGGACUAGAGCUUGCCCACUGCCUCUGCUGUCUGUAAAUGCAGGGGCUCAAGGGCUAGAACACAGCAAGUGUGCCCUUACAUAUGACUUUUAAUUGAACAGUGUCUUGGACACAAGCAGGGCUGGGGCUAGGGUAAGGUAAACGGGGCACUGGUGUCAGGAGCAAAAUUAAAGGCGGAGCAUAAAAAAACUCAGCAUUAAAACACAGUAUCUUUAAUGCACUACUAAAAAUUAAAAAUCCAUGAACAAAAUACACAAUAUAACAUUUUCAAAUAAAGACAGAAAUGGGGAGUUUCUGUCGUGGCUC
This 2803-nucleotide long non-coding RNA is filed under the name Sus scrofa (pig). RNAcentral describes it as "lncRNA (ENSSSCG00025033401.1)". The record is from RNAcentral. Lineage: Eukaryota; Metazoa; Chordata; Mammalia; Artiodactyla; Suidae.